GUUCCGUCGACGAUUUUACAGUCAAAUUCUUCACCCGUCCCUUCCCCCUGACGGAAGACCUAGAAGCUUCCAACCUUUUUCAACUCCACCUUGACUCGGCUUCCACCCCCCACCACUUCCUAAACCCCAGGUAACCCUAAAUUGCAGGAGGAGGGGAGACAGCCAAGGGCCCAUCCCCUCCCACCCUAAUAUCUAGAUAUCGUUGCAUUUAUUCAUAGACUUGAGAGACUUGUCCAAGAAAGAGUUAUCACUGUCUUUAAGAACCCAAACCUUCACAAAGUGGAACUGCUCUGUCUAGACGAAUACUCUUUUCACUAACAUUUUGCUUCUUAUGUUCGAAACCGAGUUGAAGUUUUCCAGGAGGAUUUAAUUAUUUCGAACUUUCGUGCUGCCAUCGCCAUCCAUGGGGUUAGCUGACCUCACUAUUUGAUGGGAUUAUACGGUCUUAUUACCCUGUGAACAAAUUAAACUAAUCGACGGCCAGAAAACUCCUACCAUCACAACCAAUUAUUGGCUGAAAAGUGACUCUCUUUGCUACGUUGGUCAUGAAUUGCCUGGGAACUCUGGGGCCGUUCCUUCAGCAUCCUGAAUGUUCCGGUGAAAGGAGAGUCUAUGUGCGUUCGUGUGUGGGUUGUAUGCGUGUGGGCUCAUGGCACACGGUGACUAAUCAUCGCCGAGAAGGCUGCGGCAUUGAUUCGAGGGUGAACAGUCACUGGGGGAAGUUCAUGGAAGACGGAGAGCUAGGUCGGUUGUUCUCACACUUAUCUUCAUACGUUUUUCCCAUCAUAUUCCUUGUUUAGCAUUACAAAAUUAGAGAACACUAGGGAGGAAAGCCAUCACCUGGUACAUGAUGCAUAUUGCGAAUAUGCUCCAGAAUGGACCAAUAUUUUGAAAUCCUUGAAAUUGUGUGGAGCGCUCGGACUGGACCGCCAAUGCGUUCUCGAGGAACUGUUUCUUGGAGAAGCGAAGGAUUCUCAGAAUCUGGCAUGUUUCGUAACCUCCGAACGAACUUUUCACUGCGGAUUUGUCUAAGACGCCGAGUCAAACAGCGUUUGUUGGCUCUCAGGCAGCUCCUGCAAGCGUAACUUGAUGCUCGAAGCCUCAAAUCAAGAAACAAUUCCGCAAGAAAUCAAAGCGCUCACAAAUUGUACGCCAUCAAGAAUGAACCACACCUCAGUAGCAAAUCACGGAUAUUCUCAAGUUUGGUCUGGGGAGCAUUUCACGACCUGACGCAUCCUUCUAAAUUUAAGUUUUAGUAUUGACCUUGCACUAGUCGAAUGAAGAUGCUGAUGUUUGGCACGGCCUUGCACCCUCCAUCACAUUGCUUUCCUACCGUAGCUUGUGCCGUGAGGCUUCAAACUCUGUUGCCUGCGACACCAUGACCGUGCCAAGUUUGCUCAGUCGAGCUUCUGUUGCAGUGUAAAUCAAAUUAAGAACUGAAUAUGCAGAAUCGUCCAGUGUGCGUUCCAUUAACGAUUAAAAGCUCGUCAGUGAGGUUGCAACACUUCUCCGAGGCAUUAUACAACCACACAUCCUCGUCACGAAGAAGCAGGGUAAAGCAUUACUGGUGUGGAUUUGUAGCACAGAUGUGCUGAAAUCCGCAGAAGCACAUUUCUAGAGCCACACUUUACAAACCCGAUCAUAUCAACCACGUCACAAUCUGUAGGAAUUGCUUGACGACAUGCAAGCACUUCUGAGACGGUUGAAGGCUUUAGACUUGGCACUUAGUCAGCAGGUAAGUAGCAGCAUCAAUACAUGCGUUUGAGGGGAAAUGCUCAAGCCAAGCGGCCAGGUGCUAGUGGCAACAUCACUCCUUCGAUUUGCGAGUGAUAAGUUUUUGAAGAAUUAUUUAACUAUUCUAAAGUUUUUAUAAAUAUAUAAUACGUACGUUUUUAUUU
Non-coding RNA from Physcomitrium patens, 1898 nucleotides. The record is from RefSeq and is a predicted model, not a curated record. NCBI's taxonomy places the organism in Eukaryota, Viridiplantae, Streptophyta, Bryopsida, Funariales, Funariaceae.